Molecule: ribosomal RNA, 494 nt
Filed under: uncultured bacterium
Lineage: Bacteria
Description: partial 16S ribosomal RNA
Rfam family: Bacterial small subunit ribosomal RNA
Source: RNAcentral
GACGAACGCUGGCGGCGUGCUUAACACAUGCAAGUCGAACGGAAAGGCCUGCUUUCCCUUGUGGAUUGCGGGUACUCGAGUGGCGAACGGGUGAGUAACACGUGAGUGAUCUGCCCCCAACUUGGGUAUAAGCCUGGGAAACUGGGUCUAAUUCCCGAUAGGACUGCAGGGUGGUGCCUGUGGUGGAAAACGAUUUUCUAGUGGUUGGGGAUGAGCUCGCGGCCUAUCAGCUUGUUGGUGGGGUAAUGGCCUACCAAGGCGGCGACGGGUAGCCGGCCUGAGAGGGUGGACGGCCACAUUGAGACUGAGAUACGGCCCAGACUCCGACGGGAGGCAGCAGUGGGGAAUAUUGCACAAUGAGCGGAAGCCUGAUGCAGCGACGCCGCGUGGGGGAUGACGGCCUUCGGGGUGUAAACUCCUUUCGACCGCGAGGAAGCCACCUGGUUGGAAGGGUGGUGACGGUAGUGGUAGAAGAAGCACCGGCUAACUACGUG